Fundulus heteroclitus (mummichog) is the source of this 273-nucleotide long non-coding RNA. RefSeq lists it as uncharacterized. The record is from RefSeq and is a predicted model, not a curated record. NCBI's taxonomy places the organism in Eukaryota, Metazoa, Chordata, Actinopteri, Cyprinodontiformes, Fundulidae. The transcript has 3 exons.
CCCAAAAUUCCCACCAAGCAUCUUGGAAUACAUCGCCGAAUAUUGGCAGCACCUCAAAGGCUCCCGUGGUCUGAGGAAAAGGAUCGAAAAUCAAAGAUCCAAAGUGGGUAGAAUCAUGGCUUUCCUUUCGUUUAUAACCAAGGGCCAGCCAAUCCUCCAGAAUUGGACUUUCCUUCCCAAUAUGUCCAGGAUAUACCAGUGGCCAGAGCAUCUGCAGAAUGGUGGAAAAGCGGAGAACACAGUGAAGACCUACCUGGUGAAUUUGUCCCAGUU